UACAGAGACUGCGAGCGUUAUUCGGAUUCACUGGGCGUAAAGGGUGCGCAGGCGGCCGAGUGUGUGAGGCGUGAAAGCCCGGGGCUUAACCCCGGAAUUGCGCCUCAAACUACACGGCUAGAGCAUUGGAGAGGGUAGCAGAAUUCAUGGUGUAGCAGUGAAAUGCGUAGAUAUCAUGAGGAAUACCAGAGGCGAAGGCGGCUACCUGGACAAUUGCUGACGCUCAGGCACGAAAGCGUGGGGAGCAAAAGGG
RNAcentral lists this ribosomal RNA (253 nucleotides) under uncultured bacterium. Its description in RNAcentral is "partial 16S ribosomal RNA". It matches the Rfam family "Bacterial small subunit ribosomal RNA", at positions 524 to 776 of the family's 1533-position model. The record is from RNAcentral.